AUUGAACGCUGGCGGCAUGCCUUACACAUGCAAGUCGAGCGGUAACAGGUCUUCGGAUGCUGACGAGUGGCGAACGGGUGAGUAAUACAUCGGAACGUGCCCAGACGUGGGGGAUAACGAGGCGAAAGCUUUGCUAAUACCGCAUACGAUCUAAGGAUGAAAGCAGGGGACCGCAAGGCCUUGUGCGUUUGGAGCGGCCGAUGGCAGAUUAGGUAGUUGGUGGGAUAAAAGCUUACCAAGCCGACGAUCUGUAGCUGGUCUGAGAGGACGACCAGCCACACUGGGACUGAGACACGGCCCAGACUCCUACGGGAGGCAGCAGUGGGGAAUUUUGGACAAUGGGCGAAAGCCUGAUCCAGCAAUGCCGCGUGCAGGAUGAAGGCCUUCGGGUUGUAAACUGCUUUUGUACGGAACGAAAAGGCUCUGGCUAAUACCUGGGGCACAUGACGGUACCGUAAGAAUAAGCACCGGCUAACUACGUG
Molecule: ribosomal RNA, 482 nt
Filed under: uncultured bacterium
Lineage: Bacteria
Description: partial 16S ribosomal RNA
Rfam family: Bacterial small subunit ribosomal RNA
Source: RNAcentral